This 76-nucleotide transfer RNA is filed under the name Thalassospira sp. RNAcentral's name for it is "tRNA-Ala". It matches the Rfam family "tRNA". Rfam says of the family: Transfer RNA (tRNA) molecules are approximately 80 nucleotides in length. Their secondary structure includes four short double-helical elements and three loops (D, anti-codon, and T loops). The record is from RNAcentral. Lineage: Bacteria; Pseudomonadati; Pseudomonadota; Alphaproteobacteria; Rhodospirillales; Thalassospiraceae.
GGGGCCGUAGCUCAGAUGGGAGAGCGCCUGCUUUGCACGCAGGAGGUCAGGGGUUCGAUUCCCCUCGGCUCCACCA